RNAcentral lists this ribosomal RNA (450 nucleotides) under uncultured bacterium. RNAcentral's name for it is "partial 16S ribosomal RNA". It matches the Rfam family "Bacterial small subunit ribosomal RNA", at positions 354 to 796 of the family's 1533-position model. The record is from RNAcentral.
GUGGGGAAUCUUCCACAAUGGACGAAAGUCUGAUGGAGCAACGCCGCGUGAGUGAAGAAGGGUUUCGGCUCGUAAAGCUCUGUUGUCGGGGACGAAUGUGCAGUAUUUGAAUAAAGUACUGUAAUGACGGUACCUGACGAGGAAGCCACGGCUAACUACGUGCCAGCAGCCGCGGUAAUACGUAGGUGGCAAGCGUUGUCCGGAAUUAUUGGGCGUAAAGGGAGCGCAGGCGGGAAGGUAAGUCGGUCUUAAAAGUGCGGGGCUCAACCCCGUGAUGGGAUCGAAACUAUCUUUCUUGAGUGCAGGAGAGGAAAGUGGAAUUCCUAGUGUAGCGGUGAAAUGCGUAGAUAUUAGGAGGAACACCAGUGGCGAAGGCGACUUUCUGGACGAAAACUGACGCUGAGGCGCGAAAGCCAGGGGAGCGAACGGGAUUAGAAACCCGGGUAGUCC